CUGUGACUCCUCCAAUAAAGCCACCAAAGCCUCCUAUAAAGCCACCAAAACCUCCUGUGACUCCUCCUAUAAAGCCACCAAAGCCUCCUAUUAAGCCACCAAAGCCUCCUGUGACUCCUCCUAUAAAGCCACCAAAGCCUCCAGUGACUCCUCCAGUAAUACCAAUACCACCAACUCUUCCUCCACCAAAGCCUCCAGUGACUCCUCCAGUAAUACCAACACCACCAAUUCUUCCUCCACCAGAGCCUCCAGUAAUACCAACACCACCAAUCGUGAAGCCACCACCAACACCGCCGAAGCAAGAGACUUGCCCCAUUGACACUCUCAAGUUAGGCGCAUGUGUGGAUGUCCUAGGUGG
This 358-nucleotide long non-coding RNA is filed under the name Populus trichocarpa (black cottonwood). RNAcentral describes it as "long non-coding RNA (PTRI_LNC001633)". The record is from RNAcentral. Lineage: Eukaryota; Viridiplantae; Streptophyta; Magnoliopsida; Malpighiales; Salicaceae.